RNAcentral lists this small RNA (122 nucleotides) under unclassified sequences. RNAcentral's name for it is "LOOT RNA". It matches the Rfam family "LOOT RNA". Rfam says of the family: Latescibacteria, OD1/Parcubacteria, OP11, TM7. Lineage (Microgenomates, aka OP11) The record is from Rfam by way of RNAcentral.
GGCCUAACCCGUUCCGUAAGGAGCGGCAGGGCUAUAAAUCCUGUUGAAGAUAAAGAUCCCAUCAUGUGGGAGCAUCUUCAACAGGUCAUAUCUCGAAAGGGAUAUGGGUCUCGCAAGGGAUC